This 82-nucleotide transfer RNA is filed under the name Ixodes scapularis (black-legged tick). It matches the Rfam family "tRNA". From Rfam's summary of the family: Transfer RNA (tRNA) molecules are approximately 80 nucleotides in length. Their secondary structure includes four short double-helical elements and three loops (D, anti-codon, and T loops). Further hydrogen bonds mediate the characteristic L-shaped molecular structure. tRNAs have two regions of fundamental functional importance: the anti-codon, which is responsible for specific mRNA codon recognition, and the 3' end, to which the tRNAs corresponding amino acid is attached (by aminoacyl-tRNA synthetases). tRNAs cope with the degeneracy of the genetic code in two manners: having more than one tRNA (with a specific anti-codon) for a particular amino acid; and 'wobble' base-pairing, i.e. permitting non-standard base-pairing at the 3rd anti-codon position. Lineage: Eukaryota; Metazoa; Arthropoda; Arachnida; Ixodida; Ixodidae. The record is from Rfam by way of RNAcentral.
ACAGUCGUGACCGAGUGGUUAAGGCGAUAGACUAGAAAUCCAUUGGGGUCUCCCCGCACAGGUUCAAAUCCUGUCGACUGCG